CCUAGCUACGGUCCGAGUGCCGAGGGAAGAGGAAGGGUGCGAGGUUUUGCUGGAUUUACUGGGUGUAGAGGUGGUGCAGGUGGAUUGGUGAGUUUUGGGUGAAAUCUUGCCGCUGAACGGCGAAACUGCCUUAGAUACUAUCAGUCGUGGAUAAGCGAGAGGUUCGUGGAAUUCCGAGUGUAGCAGUGAAAUGUGUAGAUAUUCGGAAGAACACCAGUGGCGAAGGCAGCGAACUGGCGCUUUAUCGACGCUCAUGCACGAAAGCAUGGGGAUCAAACAGGAUUAGAUACCCCGGUAGUC
This 300-nucleotide ribosomal RNA is filed under the name uncultured Enterococcus sp. RNAcentral's name for it is "bacterial SSU rRNA". It matches the Rfam family "Bacterial small subunit ribosomal RNA", at positions 496 to 795 of the family's 1533-position model. Lineage: Bacteria; Bacillati; Bacillota; Bacilli; Lactobacillales; Enterococcaceae. The record is from RNAcentral.